UACAGAGGGUGCAAGCGUUAAUCGGAAUUACUGGGCGUAAAGCGCGCGUAGGUGGUUCGUUAAGUUGGAUGUGAAAUCCCCGGGCUCAACCUGGGAACUGCAUUUGUGACUGCAAGGCUGGAGUGCGGCAGAGGGGGAUGGAAUUCCGCGUGUAGCAGUGAAAUGCGUAGAUAUGCGGAGGAACACCGAUGGCGAAGGCAAUCCCCUGGGCCUGCACUGACGCUCAUGCACGAAAGCGUGGGGAGCAAACAGG
This 253-nucleotide ribosomal RNA is filed under the name uncultured prokaryote. RNAcentral's name for it is "partial 16S ribosomal RNA". It matches the Rfam family "Bacterial small subunit ribosomal RNA", at positions 524 to 776 of the family's 1533-position model. The record is from RNAcentral.